This 376-nucleotide ribosomal RNA is filed under the name uncultured bacterium. Its description in RNAcentral is "bacterial SSU rRNA". It matches the Rfam family "Bacterial small subunit ribosomal RNA", at positions 102 to 507 of the family's 1533-position model. The record is from RNAcentral.
ACGGGUGAGUAACACGUUGGAACUGCCCCAAAGUGAGGAAUAAGCCACCGAAAGGUGGUCUAAUACUUCAUAAUAUCCAUCUCGUAUGGAUUAAAGCUUUAUGCGCUUUGGGAGGGGCCUGCGUAACAUUAGCUUGUUGGUGAGGUAAAAGCUCACCAAGGCUUCGAUGUUUAACUGGUUUGAGAGGAUGACCAGUCACACUGGGACUGAGAUACGGCCCAGACUCCUACGGGAGGCAGCAGUAAGGAAUCUUCCACAAUGGGGCAACCCUGAUGGAGCAAUACCGCGUGCAGGAUGAAGCGUUUCGGCGUGUAAACUGCUUUUAUCACCGAAGAUUAUGACUGUAGGUGAAGAAUAAGAACCGGCUAACUACGUG